ACCGAGAGAAAAAACACAUCAAUAAUACGAAUUGACACCGAUUUACAACAGGUAGGUAUGGACGGACAAAAAAUAAUGACGUACGUAGACAUGUUGACCUGCGUAUGCGCACACGUGGAUAUAUUUAAGGAGUGGGAGGUACCGGCUACCAUCACACUGUUUCUAGCGCUCAGAGAGAACGCACGCGUGUUGAAAUAACAAAUAAAAUUUAUAUCGAUAAAGAUGUUUUCAAACCCGUUCGAAAGGAAGCACUCCGCGCUGAGGCAAGCUUUGGACAAGCUUAUACGAGGGGAGACAAGACUCAGUUUUACGAGGAAGACCAAACUUUCGAAGAGUAUCAGCAGCAAUUCAUCCAUGUCUUCUUCAAGCAAUGAUAGUGUGCUCAAGUUUUUUGGGAAACGAUGAAAAUCGUGGUGUGCAGUGUCUGUGAUAAUUUGCCAUGGCCCGCUCAAGAAAAAGGUCGAGUCGGGUCAUUUGAACUGGUUGCGUGACGUCAAUGCCAAGUGUAGUUGUAGGUACAUCUAUUCGUAUCGGUGUUAUUAGUCGGCGCAUUACAAAAAAUGUGAUAGACAUGAGGUUAUCAAAUAAAAUAAUACUUUGAUAAUAUU
Bicyclus anynana (squinting bush brown) is the source of this 608-nucleotide long non-coding RNA. RefSeq lists it as uncharacterized. Lineage: Eukaryota; Metazoa; Arthropoda; Insecta; Lepidoptera; Nymphalidae. The transcript is spliced from 2 exons. The record is from RefSeq and is a predicted model, not a curated record.